GGGGAUAUAGCUCAGUUGGUAGAGUGCUUGCACAAGGCCCUGGGUUCAAUUCCCAGCACCACCA
Molecule: non-coding RNA, 64 nt
Organism: Ictidomys tridecemlineatus (thirteen-lined ground squirrel)
Lineage: Eukaryota; Metazoa; Chordata; Mammalia; Rodentia; Sciuridae
Source: Rfam